Molecule: ribosomal RNA, 288 nt
Filed under: uncultured bacterium
Lineage: Bacteria
Description: partial 16S ribosomal RNA
Rfam family: Bacterial small subunit ribosomal RNA
Source: RNAcentral
GUGGAUUAGAUACCCGAGUAGUCCAUGCCGUAAACGAUGUCUACUAGCCGUUGGGGCCUUUGAGGCUUUAGUGGCGCAGCUAACGCGAUAAGUAGACCGCCUGGGGAGUACGGUCGCAAGACUAAAACUCAAAUGAAUUGACGGGGGCCCGCACAAGCGGUGGAGCAUGUGGUUUAAUUCGAUGCAACGCGAAGAACCUUACCUGGCCUUGACAUAGUAAGAACUUUCCAGAGAUGGAUUGGUGCCUUCGGGAACUUACAUACAGGUGCUGCACGGUCGUCGUCAACU